RNAcentral lists this long non-coding RNA (490 nucleotides) under Pan troglodytes (chimpanzee). Its description in RNAcentral is "long non-coding RNA NONPTRT010815". The record is from RNAcentral. Lineage: Eukaryota; Metazoa; Chordata; Mammalia; Primates; Hominidae.
CAGGGAUAUUAUGGAGGUAACAGAGGCAAAGAAGCACCACUCUGACAUGGAAAAUAAUUUCCGUUGUCAGAUUAUUCUUGUUUAACUGGGUUUAACUUUAUAGUAGGGUUAAAUGUGGCCUUUGAAGGUUGGUGAGUAACAACAUCUUUUAAAACAUGGUGAAUUCCAACAAGAAAAGACCAAGGCAACAGACGCAUGAGAGUGAGGUAUUUACCUGAGGGCGAUUGAAGUCACCAGCUUAACAGUAGUGGAAAGACCUUAAGCCAGAGAACUCCAGGUUCAAGAACCACCACCUGCAAACUUGGCAAAUUUGGACAAAUGUCUCUCUGAGUUUCAUUGUCUUCAUCCACAAAUAAAGCAAGAUUACUUCACCUACAGAAUUGCGGGACACCCUCUUUUUAAAGGACAUUCAAUUCAAAUGUAUCUUCUCUGGUUAAAGUAUGGUGAAGUCUGUCCUGUGGGCACUCCCCAUUGACCCCUAGCAGCUCUU